AGUGAACGCUGGCGGCAGGCCUAAUACAUGCAAGUCGAACGGCAGCACGGCAGAGCUUGCUCUGUGGGUGGCGAGUGGCGGACGGGUGAGGAAUACAUGGGAAUCUGCCCAGUCGUGGGGAUAACGUAGGGAAACUUACGCUAAUACCGCAUGCGCCCUUCGGGGAAAGCCGGGGACCGUUCGGGCCUGGCGCGAUUGGAUGAGCCCAUGUCGGAUUAGCUAGUUGGCGGGGUAAUGGCCCACCAAGGCGACGAUCCGUAGCUGGUCUGAGAGGAUGAUCAGCCACACUGGAACUGAGACACGGUCCAGACUCCUACGGGAGGCAGCAGUAGGGAAUAUUGGACAAUGGGCGCAGGCCUGAUCCAGCCAUGCCGCGUGAGUGAAGAAGGCCCUCGGGUUGUAAAGCUCUUUUGUCCGGAAAGAAAAGACGCCGGGUUAAUACCCUGGUGUCCUGACGGUACCGGAAGAAUAAGCACCGGCUAACUUCGUGCCAGCAGCCGCGGUAAU
RNAcentral lists this ribosomal RNA (507 nucleotides) under uncultured bacterium. Its description in RNAcentral is "bacterial SSU rRNA". It matches the Rfam family "Bacterial small subunit ribosomal RNA", at positions 29 to 524 of the family's 1533-position model. The record is from RNAcentral.